Molecule: ribosomal RNA, 852 nt
Filed under: Triticum aestivum (bread wheat)
Lineage: Eukaryota; Viridiplantae; Streptophyta; Magnoliopsida; Poales; Poaceae
Description: partial small subunit ribosomal RNA
Source: RNAcentral
AUGCCACCGGAUCGAGACAUUGAAUUUUUGAUUGAGCUAUUGCCAGGCACCGGACCAACAUCAAAGAGACCAUAUCGGAUGCCCGCAAAGGAUCUGGAGAAAAUUAAGAUGCAGAUAAAGGAGUUACUGGAGAAAGGUUACAUUCAACCAAGUUCAUCACCUUGGGGAGCCCUAGUGCUUCUAGUGGAGAAGAAGGAUGGAUCUUUGAGGAUGGUAGUUGAUUGUUGUGCGUUGAAUGAGGUGACGAUCAAGAACAAAUACCCUCUUUUGAUGAUCAACAAUUUGUUUGACCAGUUGCAAGGAGCUAAAGUUUUCUCCAAGAUUGAUCUUCGAUCAGGUUAUCACCAGUUGAAGAUCCGAGAACAAGAUAUACCUAAGACAGCUUUUACUACAAGGUACGGGCUAUAUGAGUAUACCGUUAUGUCAUUUGGUCCGACUAACGCGCCUGCCUAUUUCAUGAACAUGAUGAACAAGGUGUUUAUGAAGUUUUUGGAUAAGUUCGUCGUGGUGUUCAUUGAUGAUAUAUUGGUCUAUUCGAAGAAUGGAGAAGAGCAUAAGGAGCAUUUGCGUUUGGUUCUUGAGAAGCUCAGAGAACAUCAGUUGUAUGCCAAGUUCAGCAAAUGUGAGUUUUGGUUAAAGGAAGUUGGAUUUCUCGGACAUGUUAUAUCCGGAGAAGGAAUAGCAGUAGACCCUACCAAGGUUACUUCUGUCACUAAAUGGGUGGCACCCACAUCAGUUGGAGAGAUCAGGAGUUUUCUUGGACUCGCAGGUUAUUAUCGGAGGUUUUAUCGAGAAUUUCUCCAGGAUUGCAAAGCCCAUGAUGGAGUUAUUGAAGAAGGACACCAAGUUUAA